CCUAGGGUGGCGCAGCAGUGGGGAAUAUUGGGCAAUGGGCGCAAGCCUGACCCAGCAACGCCGCGUGAAGGAAGAAGGCUUUCGGGUUGUAAACUUCUUUUAAGAGGGAAGAGCAGAAGACGGUACCUCUUGAAUAAGCCACGGCUAACUACGUGCCAGCAGCCGCGGUAAUACGUAGGUGGCAAGCGUUGUCCGGAUUUACUGGGUGUAAAGGGCGUGUAGCCGGGCUGACAAGUCAGAUGUGAAAUUCCGGGGCUCAACCCCGGACCUGCAUUUGAAACUGUUUUUCUUGAGUACUGGAGAGGCAGACGGAAUUCCUAGUGUAGCGGUGAAAUGCGUAGAUAUUAGGAGGAACACCAGUGGCGAAGGCGGUCUGCUGGACAGCAACUGACGCUGAGGCGCGAAAGCGUGGGGAGCAAACAGGAUUAGAUACCCCGGUAGUC
This 443-nucleotide ribosomal RNA is filed under the name uncultured bacterium. Its description in RNAcentral is "partial 16S ribosomal RNA". It matches the Rfam family "Bacterial small subunit ribosomal RNA", at positions 337 to 795 of the family's 1533-position model. The record is from RNAcentral.